UACGUAGGGCGCAAGCGUUGUCCGGAUUUAUUGGGCGUAAAGAGCUCGUAGGCGGUUUGUCGCGUCUUCCGUGAAAACUGGGGGCUUAACUUCCAGCUUGCGGUGGAUACGGGCUGACUGGAGUGCGGCAGGGGAGACUGGAAUUCCUGGUGUAGCGGUGAAAUGCGCAGAUAUCAGGAGGAAUACCGGUGGCGAAGGCGGCAUCCUGGACCGACAUUGACGCUGAGGAGCGAAAGCUAGGGGAGCAAACGGG
RNAcentral lists this ribosomal RNA (253 nucleotides) under uncultured bacterium. RNAcentral describes it as "partial 16S ribosomal RNA". It matches the Rfam family "Bacterial small subunit ribosomal RNA", at positions 524 to 776 of the family's 1533-position model. The record is from RNAcentral.